RNAcentral lists this transfer RNA (68 nucleotides) under Nippostrongylus brasiliensis. It matches the Rfam family "tRNA". From Rfam's summary of the family: Transfer RNA (tRNA) molecules are approximately 80 nucleotides in length. Lineage: Eukaryota; Metazoa; Nematoda; Chromadorea; Rhabditida; Heligmosomidae. The record is from Rfam by way of RNAcentral.
GCCUCUAUAGCUCAGUGGCAGAGCGUCUGUCUCGUAAACAGAAGGUCUGUAGUUCAAUCAUGGACGCA